RNAcentral lists this ribosomal RNA (506 nucleotides) under uncultured bacterium. RNAcentral's name for it is "partial 16S ribosomal RNA". It matches the Rfam family "Bacterial small subunit ribosomal RNA", at positions 28 to 523 of the family's 1533-position model. The record is from RNAcentral.
GAUGAACGCUAGCUACAGGCUUAACACAUGCAAGUCGAGGGGUAACGAGAGGGAAGCUUGCUUUCCUUGUCGACGACCGGCGCACGGGUGAGUAACGCGUAUCCAACCUGCCCCCAACUAGGGAAUAACCUUGCGAAAGUAAGACUAAUACCCUAUAAUUUCCUCAGAUGUCAUCUGACGAGGAAUAAAGAUUUAUCGGUUGUGGAUGGGGAUGCGUCUGAUUAGCUUGUUGGCGGGGUAACGGCCCACCAAGGCAACGAUCAGUAGGGGUUUUGAGAGGAAGGUCCCCCACAUUGGAACUGCGACACGGUCCAAACUCCUACGGGAGGCAGCAGUGAGGAAUAUUGGUCAAUGGGCGGAAGCCUGAACCAGCCAAGUAGCGUGCAGGAUGACGGCCCUAUGGGUUGUAAACUGCUUUUAUACAGGAAUAAAGUUAGCCACGUGUGGUUAUUUGUAGGUACUGUAUGAAUAAGGACCGGCUAAUUCCGUGCCAGCCGCCGCGGUAA